Non-coding RNA from Oryctolagus cuniculus (rabbit), 1657 nucleotides. The record is from RefSeq and is a predicted model, not a curated record. NCBI's taxonomy places the organism in Eukaryota, Metazoa, Chordata, Mammalia, Lagomorpha, Leporidae.
UAGACAUAUGCACUUUGCGGUAUUUCUGUAGCCUACACGCAGGAGACCCAGUUUAUAGGCAUUCUGUAAGCUAGCUCUAGAGUAAGCCAUUUGCAGUUCUGCAUCCUGAGUGUAGUAGACAUAGUUAUGGGAGUUCUGUUGCUUGGGAGUAGACAUACGCAGUACGUGCGCUUUCUAUAGCUUGAAUGUAGGAGACGCAGUAUAAAGCAAUUCUGUAAGCUGAGUGUACACAGAGGCUGUUUACAGGUUUUCUGCAGCCUGAGUGUAGUAGACACACUUUGUGGGAAUUCUGCAGCUUGGGAAUAGGCAUACACAGUAUACGGGUUUUCUGUAGCCUGAAUGUAGGAGACGCAGCAUAAAGCAGUUCUGUAAGCUGGGUGUACCGAGAGGCUGUGUACAGGUUUUCUGCAGCCUGAGUGUAGUAGACACAGUUUAUGGGAGUUCUGUAAAUUCUGAGACGGCUUAUGCACUCUUCAGGAUGUUUGUGGCAUGACUAUAGGAAAACACUUUACGGGAGAUUUGUAACAUGGAUGUAGAGAGACACAGAUCGCAGCAGUUCUCCAGCCUGAAUGUAAAGACACAGUUUGUGGGAGUUCUGUUGCUUCCGAGUAGGCAUAUGCAGUAUGCGCGCUUUCUGUAGCCUGAAUGUAGGAGAUGCGGCAUAAAGCAGUUCUCUAAGCUGGGUGUACAGAGAGGCUGUUUACAGGAGUUCUGCAGCCUGAGUGUAGUAGACACACUUUGUGGGAAUUCUGCAGGUUGGGAGUAGGCAUACGCAGUAUGCGCACUUUCUGUAGCCUGAAUAUAGGAGAUGCAGCAUAAAGCAGUUCUGUAAGCUGGGUGUACCGAGAGGCUGUGUACAGCAAUUCUGUAGCCUGAAUGUAAGAGAAUCACUUUAUGGGAGUUCUGUAGGUUCUGACUAGGCAUAUGCACUUUGCGGUAUUUCUGUAGCCUACACGCAGGAGACCCAGUUUAUAGGCAUUCUGUAAGCUAGCUCUAGAGUAAGCCAUUUGCAGUUCUGCAGCCUGAGUGUAGUAGACACAGUUUAUGGGAGUUCUGUAAAUUCUGAGACGGCUUAUGCACUCUUCAGGAUGUUUGUGGCAUGACUAUAGGAAAACACUUUACGGGAGAUUUGCAACAUGGAUGUAGAGAGACACAGGUCGCAGCAGUUCUGCCGCCUGAAUGUAUAAGACACAGUUUAUGGGAGUUCUGUGGCUUGGGAGUGAGCAUAAGCAGUAUGCGCGCUUUCUGUAGCCUGAAUGUAGGACAUGCAGCAUAAAGCAGUUCUCUAAGCUGGGUGUACCCAGAUGCUGUUUACAGGAGUUCUGCAGCCUGAGUGUAGUAGACACACUUUGUGGGAAUUCUGCAGGUUGGGAUAGGCUUACGCAGUAUACGGGUUUUCUGCAGCCUGAGUGUACGAGAUGCAGCUUACCGGAGUUCUGUAUGCUGGCUGAACAGAGAGGCAGUUUACAGGAGUUCUACAGCCUGAGUGUAGUAGACACACUUUGUGGGAAUUCUGUAGCUUGGGAGUAGGCAUACGCAGUAUGCGCACUUUCUGUAGCCUGAAUAUAGGAGAUGCAGCAUAAAGCAGUUCUGUAAGCUGGGUUACAGAGAGGCUGUUUACAGGAGUUCUGCAGCCUGAGUGUAGUAGACACACUUU